This 307-nucleotide long non-coding RNA is filed under the name Homo sapiens (human). Its description in RNAcentral is "HSALNT0001165". The record is from RNAcentral. Lineage: Eukaryota; Metazoa; Chordata; Mammalia; Primates; Hominidae.
CGCCACCCCUGCCCCGGGCAGCCCCGGCUGCUCCUUCAUCACAGAGCCCAGACUCGCCUCGUCAGACUUGGCUACCUCUGUGAGCUUGCAGGAAUAAAUCUGAGACUGACAGCAGCAAUCACAGUCACAUUCCACAGCCUCUCCAGCACCCAGCCAGCUCUCCGCGGGGGCAGCAGGGACUGGUCCACCCAACAACAGCAGCCAUGUCCUCACCUCUUGCUACAGCAGCAACUUUAUUUGAUUUGAUGUAUAUGAAGAAAUAAAACUCAGAAGUCAAUUGACUUAAACAUGGAACAAUGCAGCUUGG